CAUAGCGACUAUCGUGGCAUAUCAAUAAGCGGAGGAAAAGAAACUAACAAGGAUUCCCUUAGUAACGGCGAGUGAAGCGGGAAGAGCUCAAAUUUGAAAUCUUCAAGGUUUUACCUUGACGAAUUGUAGUUUAAAGAAGUGUUUUCUGUUGGAGUUUUGGUAAAAGUUCUUUGGAAUAGGACAUCAUAGAGGGUGAGAAUCCCGUAUUUGACCGUUACUUUCCAGCUGUGUGAUACACUUUCAAAGAGUCGGAUUGUUUGGGAAUGCAGUCCAAAAUGGGUGGUAAAUUUCAUCUAAAGCUAAAUAUUGGCGAGAGACCGAUAGCGAACAAGUACCGUGAGGGAAAGAUGAAAAGAACUUUGAAAAGAGAGUUAAACAGUACGUGAAAUUGUCAAAAGGGAAGCGUUUGACACCAGUGUUGUUUAGUUGAAAAUCAAUUCAAUAGUUUUUGAUUCUAAGUAGUAUUGACUUCAUCAGCUUGCUGCUUUCUUCUCAGAAAUUAUUGAAUGCACUUUUCAGUUAACAAGUCAACAUCAAUUUCUUUUGUUGUAAAAGGGUAAGAGGAAGGUGGCUUGCGCUUCGGCUCAAGUGUUUAUAGCCUUUUAUCUCUGCAAUCGGAGAGAUUGAGGUCUGCAGCGUAGAUCCUUCGGGGUUAGAUACAUUGGUGCUAAGCUAUAGCCUUGUAUAGACAACUUGUUGACUAUGCUCAGUCAUGUAGCUUACUCGCUGAUGCUAUUUUACCUACGCUUAGGAUGUUGACGAGACUGUCGAUCUC
This 775-nucleotide ribosomal RNA is filed under the name uncultured Neocallimastigales. RNAcentral describes it as "partial large subunit ribosomal RNA". It matches the Rfam family "Eukaryotic large subunit ribosomal RNA", at positions 22 to 646 of the family's 3401-position model. The record is from RNAcentral. Lineage: Eukaryota; Fungi; Neocallimastigomycota; Neocallimastigomycetes; Neocallimastigales.